CAUGUGGUUGGGGUGGUAGUAGUAGACGUGUGGUUGGGGUGGUAGGGGUAGUAGAAGUGUAGUAGUGGUAGUAAUAGACAUGUGGUUGGGGUGGUAGUAGUAGACGUGUGGUUGGAGUGGAGGGGUAGUAGAAGUGGGGUAGUGGUAGUAGUAGAAGUGUGGUUAGGGUAGUAGUAGUAGACUGGUUGGGGUGGUGGUAGUAGAAGUGUAGUAGGGGUCGUGGUAGUAGAAGUGUAGUACCAGUCUAAAAUGGGGAUGUGUAUGGUGCUCAAUUUACCCCAUACAACACUAAUGUUUAUGUCCCCUGAACAGGAAGGGCUGUGGGAUUCAGACUACAGUCUGUGUUAUGACAUCCUGAAGUUUGAAGCAGGUUAAUCAACAGCACCCACCUGGUGGCAGUCAACAGCACCUCCUGGUGGCAGUCAACAGCACCUCCUGGUGGCAGUCAACAGCACCCCCCAGUGGCACAUCUUGGUCACGACAAUCUGCAUGAUACACAACAUCAGUGUGACACCCUGCUGAUACCUGACCAUGAACGAAGACAGGUUCUCAUUCUGAAAUGGAAAAGCUUGAAUGGGUUAAUCUCAAUCAGAUAUUGUUGUACCCAUUCCCCCCUCCCCCCCAAGCAACAAUAUAUGUUAUUACCCCAUGCACCAGUCUGUCCCAUUCUCCACCACUGACGACAUGAGCUUUAUUUAAUACCCCCAGUUGAAAUGAUGAGUGGACCCUGUUAACUUAAUUUUAGUUAUGUGGUCAAAGUGCUUAAUAACCUGAUAGCAUGAAUACUUGAAGUCCCCCAUGCAUUAUGCACAGGACAGGGCCACUCUAUAAUGACGGUCCAUAGAUAGAAGUGCAGUUUUAUAAAUAACUGCGUGCUAAUCUGCUCCCUACAGUCAGUGAGAUCGACCAUGGCAUACUAAAGGACUAAGUAAUGAACAUUAAAAACCGAGAUGGCAGCAAGAUUCUGUUCUCUAAAACAGCAGCACACGAAUAGUGGCUCAACGAAAUGCCCUCAUCCAAGAUGAAAGACAUAUAAUAAGUUAACAUACAAAAUUAAUUGAGCAGUAUUGUCAACUCGCCACGUGAGGCCGACUGAACUCACACAUCUCCAGGUCGAUCGUAUCUGACUCCUGCACUCCCGUCCACCAAUAGCAACGUCCUCACCAGACUGCCUCCUGCAGCACAACACUCCCGUCCACCAAUAGCAACGUCCUCGCCAGACUGCCUCCUGCAGCACAACACUCCCGUCCACCAAUAGCAACGUCCUCGCCAGACUGCCUCCUGCAGCACAACACUCCCUUCCACCAAUA
Molecule: long non-coding RNA, 1310 nt
Organism: Oncorhynchus tshawytscha (Chinook salmon)
Lineage: Eukaryota; Metazoa; Chordata; Actinopteri; Salmoniformes; Salmonidae
Source: Ensembl